Molecule: transfer RNA, 67 nt
Filed under: Echyridella menziesii
Lineage: Eukaryota; Metazoa; Mollusca; Bivalvia; Unionida; Hyriidae
Description: tRNA-Pro
Source: RNAcentral
CGAGUAGUAGUUUAUCUAAAAACGAAGACUUUGGGAGUCUUAAAAUUAGUCACCCUAACCACUUGAC